UUCUUUCCAAGGCAAAAUAUCAUGAGUGCAG
Molecule: non-coding RNA, 31 nt
Filed under: Rattus norvegicus (Norway rat)
Lineage: Eukaryota; Metazoa; Chordata; Mammalia; Rodentia; Muridae
Source: RNAcentral